Molecule: ribosomal RNA, 253 nt
Filed under: uncultured bacterium
Lineage: Bacteria
Description: partial 16S ribosomal RNA
Rfam family: Bacterial small subunit ribosomal RNA
Source: RNAcentral
UACGUAGGGGGCUAGCGUUGUCCGGAAUCAUUGGGCGUAAAGCGCGUGUAGGCGGUUCGGUAAGUCCGCUGUGAAAGUCGGGGGCUCAACCCUCGGAUGCCGGUGGAUACUGUCGGACUAGAGUACGGAAGAGGCGAGUGGAAUUCCUGGUGUAGCGGUGAAAUGCGCAGAUAUCAGGAGGAACACCGAUUGCGAAGGCAGCUCGCUGGGACGUUACUGACGCUGAGAAGCGAAAGCAUGGGGAGCGAACAGG